CGUGUAGGCGGCCCGUCAAGUACCUUGUGAAAUCCCUCGGCUCAACCGGGGAAUGGCUGGGUAUACUGACGGGCUUGAGGUUGGUAGGGGUGCCUGGAACUCUAGGUGGAGCGGUGAAAUGCGUAGAUAUCUAGAGGAACGCCCGUGGCGAAAGCGGGGCACUGGGCCACACCUGACGCUAAGACGCGAAAGCGUGGGGAGCAAACGGGAUUAGAUACCCCGGUAGUCCACGCCGUAAACGAUGCGCACAAGGUUCACGAGACUCUGACGUCGAGUGAGCCGAAACAAAAGUGUUAAGUGCGCCGCCUGGGGAGUACGGCCGCAAGGCUAAA
RNAcentral lists this ribosomal RNA (332 nucleotides) under uncultured Planctomycetota bacterium. RNAcentral describes it as "bacterial SSU rRNA". It matches the Rfam family "Bacterial small subunit ribosomal RNA", at positions 568 to 898 of the family's 1533-position model. The record is from RNAcentral. Lineage: Bacteria; Pseudomonadati; Planctomycetota.